UCGUUUUUCGUACAUAUUGUAAUUCAUUUUUUUUGUCAGUUUUUUUUGGUUUUGUUCCAUUGAAGAAUAAGUUUAAGCGUUCACAAUAAAACACUUCAAUACCGUGGCUUCAUUCAAAUUCGCUCAGAAUUCAUUUUAAUUGUGCGACAUGUUAUUUUGACGAUUGUUUUUUUUUCUUCGUCUACCGUAGUCGAUUCGAUAUUUUAUUAUUUUAUUCGUUCGUUCGAAUAACGAAGAAUCUAAUCGAUUUUAAUCGAUUUCGCCAUCGAUUUUUCAGACGAAAAGUGGUUCGGCAUGAAUUGCAUCUCGAUUUCAGUCAAAUUUCGUCAUGUAUAAAUCAUCAAUUCGUAUCGCUUAAAGAGUCGGUUAAUUUGAUCCAGCAGUCAAAAACAGUGGCUUAAUUCGGAAAACAGAGAGAGAGAGAGAGAGACGAGAAAAAAAAUUCGUAAUAAUACCAUUUUUCAAUUGUGCAAUUAAAAGUUGUGUCUCGUGGAUUUUCAAUUUUGGAUUUAAUGACCAAUAGAAGUUUUUUAUUUGUCUAGUGUGAACCAUAAAUAAAUCGUUUUGUGGUUGUUUCGAUUGACCCAAAAAUCGUUGGAUAUUUUCUUGAUUACAAGUGCGACCGCAAACAGACCGAUGAAAUUUAGUUUGAUUUGUUUUGUAAUGGACACUUGAUUGUAACUGCCAAUUGUACCAGGCCAGAGCAAUUCAAGCGUGAUUGACUAUCGGCAUUAGAAAAAAAAACUCACAUCAAACACUUCUUGUCGAUUAUUGGAGAUAUGAGUACGAUUACCGGCAAUUGAAACACAAUUAAAUAUUCGAAUUGGAAUGAGACAUUAAGUGUGGCAUCAGUUGGUUUUUUUUUCUGUUAUUCAUUUCAAAUAGACCCAAAAACAAAUAACCAACAUCAUCAGUAAAUAUAUAUUGAGUGUUGAAAAUUGGAGUUUGCUGCUCAGCAGAGAAUAUCCGGAAGAGGUUUUCGAGAUCGAAUUGGAGAAAACACCAUUAGCAGGAGGCAUUUAUGUGCAUUGCCUGAUUUCACUACACACACACACACAACAUUGGUUUUUUUUAUAUAAACGACACAUGUGGAAGCAUAUGCGUUCGGCGAUGAAACCAUUCGGGUAUUUAAUUCUAUUUUAUUUUGGUUUUUUUCUGUGCAUCGCCACAUCACCUUGCUUGGGUUCAAAGGUGAUUCGAACGUCUGCCAAGUCAUUAGCCGAACGAGCUGGAGCAGCACAGUAUGCGGUUCAUAUUGAAGAAGAAUUGUCACCGGAAGAGAUAAGCAGCCCGCAUGAUCUGCGGAAGCGGCUUAGCAAUGAGAAUUUGUUUGAUGAUAACGACUAUGAGAUUUAUCAGGGUGUCGUUGGUAGACCGGGAGUCGAUUUUCCCGUUCUAACCGGCAUCCCACAAACCACAUUCAACUGCCGUGAUUUUGGCAAUGGUUAUUUUGCCGAUUUGGAAACUGAAUGCCAAGUGUUCCACAUCUGUGAAGGCGGCAAGAAAAUCUCGUUCCUCUGUCCGAACGGUACAAUUUUCCAACAAAGCGAACUGAUCUGUGACUGGUGGUUCAAAGUAAACUGUGCUGCUGCACCGGGCCAUUAUGCCGAAAGCUCCGAGGUUCUGUCACGAGCUCAAAAUCGUUCAUCGAGCUACUCGGUCAAAUCGAAGCCAACCGUAAAGCUGGAUAAAGAUCAAAAACGGCCAAAGUCAUCCGAAGAAGCAACAAAUGAUAAUUUAGAUUUUGAGGAUAUUUCAUUCCCGGAGUUGAGUGCACCAAAAUCAAAUGCAUUGAACGCUGACCGAAGGGCAAAAGCAUAUUCACAGAAUAGCACACAGAAUUUACAGAAUACUCAAAAUACUCAACGCGCUCAACAUUCGCAACGCGUGCAAAAUGCACCAAACACAAAAAGCGCGCCGAAUUCCCAAGAGUCACAAGUAUUUGCAGCCAGUUCAUCAUUUGUUAAUGCCCAAGCCAACAAUUUUAAUGGCUAUUACUACAAACAGCCGAAUCAAAAUAAAGCAUCCAAUCAAAAGGAGGCAACAACAACACAGUCACCUCAACCUCAAGCCACCUCAACGACUCCGGUAACGACAACUGCAGCUAGUGUUAAUUUUGUGCAAAAUAACAACAAUUUCGAUGGAUACAAAUACGAAGAUCGAUCGAGUCGACGAUUCCAAACGACAAAAGCUACCACGGAAAGGAACAAUCAAGUGACAUUCUCCACGACAACAUUGCCACCGAUUACAUAUCCAAAUCGGGGCACCACAAAAUACAAGGACACAAAUACCGAUCAAUUCAUCAUAAAUGUUGCAGAUACAACGGCACGAACGACACCACCUCCAUUAAUCCGAAAUCGAAUAAACGUUGAAUCGACAACUGCACGAUAUGAAACCACACGAACGACCCCAUUCUACACACCAACUGUGCCAAGUGUUUCUCCAGCUCGACCGGUAUCACGGAACCGUUUUCAAGAAGCGCGGCCAACGGUCAGCUCAGCAAAGGUUGCCGAACACGCCAUGGAAAUGAUGCAAACAAUUCAUAAUUUGAAAUUGGAUGGAGCAUCCGAGCCAACACUGGCAAAAGAACACGAUAGUCGCCCUGGAUUGAUCAUUCCACCAUCGUCCGGGCCGGAAACACUUCAUUCGCUGGCUUUGUACUUUGCAACAGCGGUUGAUAGUUUGGUAACGAAACCGAUGCCUGAAACCACAACUUUGCCAGUUCCUGGAUUGAAGGGUCUUGAUAUUCAAGUGGGCAAUGUGACGAAAUUGGAUUCAUCUUUGGUGAGUGACAGCACAAAACGCCAAUACGAGACAUUGUUUGGCAUCGAUGAAGAUGAUAAAUUAGGUAAUGAACAGAACAAAGCUAGUGUUCGUGAUGGUUCCAGUGAUGACUCCAACCUAUCGAACAAUGACUUGGAAACUGAAUUCUCGAAUAAUCCUGUUGUUGCCGCCGCUGGAACUAAACAGAUCCGAGAAUUGGCUCAAGUAUUUACGCAUGCAUUGUCCGCAUAUCUACACGAUCCAUCCACAUUCCGAAGGGUUUUGGCCGAAAUUCGACCAACCGAACCACCACCAGUCCAAAGCACUGAGUAUUUGAACAAUCGAAUUGGCAGAAACAAAGAUUUCAAAGAUGGAACUGGUCCGACGUAUUUGCCAACAUCGGCAACGCCGAGCUUCAAAGAUGCCAAUGCUGGCAUCCAAACUACAGAAGACUUGGAAGUGCUUGACUUUUCCGAUGUGACCGUGUCAACGCCGUAUUCAAAAGAGGAUUCAACUGAUAUCAACAAUAACACAGAAAGUGCUACUUCUGUACCAACUGUUGAUAUUUUCGACACAACUAGAUCGCAAAUUUUGCAAGAAUCACUCAAACAGGUUGAUCAUGUCCCAGCAUCUCGAAUUCUCACCGAAGCACUUGAAUCGUACGCAUUGAAUCAAUAUUCUGGAAAUUCACUGGAAGGAACAACCGAACCAAGCAAUCCAUUGGCUAUCGAAAUAAAUGGUGGACUCGAGGCCACAACAACUUAUCCAUAUUUAGAAGAUUUCGAAAACUCAAAUAAUACCUUCCAAUUCCCAUCGCAUUUGACCGACACCGAAUAUCCAAGUUCUCCAACCACUGAUUAUCCAAAUAUCGCAUCGACCACAUCGUCUGGACCAUUGUCAUUCGAUCUGUUGCCACCAUCAUCGGUAAAUAAAGCAUUCGAUUUCCCAAAGAAUGACAUACCCGCACCGGUCGAUGAUAAUGAUUUGCAGCGUGCUCAAUCACAGUCAAUAUUUGGCAAUAGCAAGAAUAACUUGGAGCCACAUCGAACGGGCAAAGAAUACACAACGAAAAGUAAAAACGACGCAAAAUCGUUGAAGAAUGAAAAUGGCCAUUACAUUACGGAAAUCACUCCGACCGUGACGCCAGCACCGGAUUUGAGUAAAACAACCAAUCCAGAUAAUGGAAAGAUUAAUCCAAACACAUGGUCAACACUAUCGUAUUCCGUGUUUUUGGAUCCAUUGACCAUAAAUGAUGGCCUUAUGAGUUCGAAUGAGCAAAGCACACCACCAAGUGCAAUUGGAUCGGCCACUUAUCUGCCGCAAACAACACUAACACCAAGCUACGAAACAACCAUUCCAACAUUCCUAAACAAUGACAAUCGACAGGGCAAAGCUGUUGCGCCAACAAAUGGUUCACCAACACACGAAGAUUACUUGCAUGUGAUGCAACAGAAGGCGAACGAAAUGUUUGGAUCGCUGAACGAUACAUCAGCCGAUCACCUGAUGAAUGUCAUGAAAAAGGCCGACAAAAAUAAGACGGUGCGAAAAUUGAUAUUGCUUUUGAUUCAAACGUGCGACGAUGAUUACAAUAAAACGGUUGAACAGUCAAGGCAAGCACUUUUGAAUGCUUUGAUCGGCAUGGACGGUAGAACGGAUGAUGGCAAUGAAAUUCAAACGAUUCAGACGAUCAGAGCAAAGCCGUAUCGUGACGAAAGUGCAGGUAAAGCAUUGAAUUUGAAUGGACCCAGUCAAAAUGCGUUCCCAACUACAACCACACAGUUGCCGAUAACAACAUAUCAUCGGCCGCUCAAUUUACGUAUUACCGAAAGUGCUAGCCACUCAACACAUUAUCCACCUCAUAAUGCGGCUUUGAAUACUGAAACAACAACAUAUUCGCCGCUAUUCCAAUCGACAAACUACUUUGCGGACACAACAUCAACACAAAACUAUGACUUCAGCACAACAACUGUGUAUUCAACAGAUGCUGAUACCACUACAACUACGUAUUAUCAGCCACCAACCACAACAAUUGCAACAACGACAACAACAACAACAACAACAACUAGAGUGCCAGCAACAAUCAAAUCACGCCGAAGGACCACUCAGGCGCCGUUGCGCAAUUCAAAGCGUUUAGCAAAAGAUUUGGACCAAUAUUUAGCGCAUCAAGGUGACACAAACGUAACGGUGAAUCAAUCGCAUCGGAAUUCUGAUGCUCGAGCCUUAGAAUUACUUCGGUCACUCUAUUCACUAGCAGGUCGAUUUGGUAAAUGAAAAGUAAUUGAGAAAAAAGCCCCACUUUUUACGUACACACACACACACAUACAAACAUACACAAAAAUUCGAAUUUUGAAUCGGUUUUGAGUCCUUCUGAAUUUGGUCUUUUACACGAAAAUUCCCUUUACUCUGAAAAAUUAACGACUUUUCGAAAUGAUUCUUGUUGGAAAAAUGUUCGAACGACAUUUAUGUUCAUAGUGGAGAAUGUGUGUCGUAUUGUGUAAUUUUUAUGAUGCCUAAUUUGAAAGAGAUUUUAUCAAGUAAUUUUAAAAUUUAGUCAAUUAACAUGAACGUAAGAAGUAACCAAUUUGACAAAAAAAAAUUGGAUGCACCCCCUAUCAUUGUGUCACGUGUGCAUGAUGAAGACCUUUCCCAUGCAAUUUAAAAUGAACAAAACAAAAACACAUUUAACCAUGCACACACGAAAGUAGCUAUCACAAUGCAAUUGCAAAUUAAAAUGACAAAAGAACAAGAUAGCCGAAAGAGUACCAAAACUGUCGCGUGGAAAAUGAAUUGGGUCUGAUUUAGGUAUAACGACUUAGGUUCCAAUAGAAGCCAGACACUUUGACUUUUAUUUAUAACAUCCCGUUUAUUUGAGUGGGAGAGAUGACUGUAGAUGAAUGUAUAACUUACGACACGGCAAGGUGACCGACAAUAUGACAAACUUUGACUGCCUUUUGACACACACACACACACAAGCACACAUAGAAAUGCAUAUAGAAAACACUACCACCCCGUAUUCUGACCGGCUAUCGGCUUCAAUGCUUAUUAUUUAACUGACUAGUUCUUUGUAAUGGAAUGGACAAACGAUAAAAAAAAACGAUUGCAUUUAAUUCAUUGUUACAUACAAUUGAAUGCAGUUUAUGAAUUGUUGAUAUAUUUAAUAAAUUUUAAGUCGUAAUCGAUACAUGCUUUUAUUUGUAAGUAAAUUAAUUGCAACAAUGAAAAUCAUGUUCAGAAAAAUUUCUUUUCUUUUCGUGAUAUUUAUAAAAUGAAGUAAACGGUGUAAAACUGUUUGAUAAUUUAACGUUUUUUCCCUUAUUUUUGAAACGAGGUUUUAUCCAAUUCCAAGCAUUUGAAAUUUCGUCUAUUUUUCUUCUUUUAAGCAUUCUAUUCAACAGUAAAUUGAAUAAUACAUUUAUUUUAGUAUGUUUGUAAUAGCAUGUAAAUAAAUGAGAAUUUAAAAUUAUUAGGAUAUUUGCCAUAUUAAAUAAUUUAAAUAAUCUCGGCAAGCUUAAUUUCCUCAUUUUAAAAUCACAUUGCUAAUUGAUUCCAUAGAAAAAUAAGUUUCGAGCCUUUUUUUUAAUCAAUCAAUUUAUCAAUUUCGUAGCUGAAGCAUUAAUUCUUUUUCUACUGUUUUUGGAAUAUUUCAAACGGCAACUUAUCAUGCAUAUACAAAUGUAGCAUGAAACCAGUUUUCUGUUGAUUUUUGUUAUAUUAAAUGAACUCUUAUUUGAAAAUA
Sitodiplosis mosellana (orange wheat blossom midge) is the source of this 6499-nucleotide RNA transcript. RefSeq lists it as uncharacterized. Lineage: Eukaryota; Metazoa; Arthropoda; Insecta; Diptera; Cecidomyiidae. The record is from RefSeq and is a predicted model, not a curated record. The transcript is spliced from 7 exons.